AUUGAACGCUGGCGGCAGGCCUAACACAUGCAAGUCGGACGGUAGCACAGAGGAGCUUGCUCCUCGGGUGACGAGUGGCGGACGGGCGAGAAAUGUCUGGGGAUCUGCCCGAUAGAGGGGGAUAACCACUGGAAACGGUGGCUAAUACCGCAUAACGUCGCAAGACCAAAGAGGGGGACCUUCGGGCCUCUCACUAUCGGAUGAACCCAGAUGGGAUUAGCUAGUAGGCGGGGUAACGGCCCACCUAGGCGACGAUCCCUAGCUGGUCUGAGAGGAUGACCAGCCACACUGGAACUGAGACACGGUCCAGACUCCUACGGGAGGCAGCAGUGGGGAAUAUUGCACAAUGGGCGCAAGCCUGAUGCAGCCAUGCCGCGUGUAUGAAGAAGGUCUUCGGGUUGUAAAGUACUUUCAGCGGGGAGGAAGGCGAUGUGGUUAAUAACCGCGUCGAUUGACGUUACCCGCAGAAGAAGCACCAGCUAACUCCGUGCCAGCCGCCGCUGUAA
RNAcentral lists this ribosomal RNA (506 nucleotides) under uncultured bacterium. Its description in RNAcentral is "partial 16S ribosomal RNA". It matches the Rfam family "Bacterial small subunit ribosomal RNA", at positions 29 to 523 of the family's 1533-position model. The record is from RNAcentral.